This 244-nucleotide ribosomal RNA is filed under the name uncultured Actinomycetales bacterium. RNAcentral's name for it is "partial 16S ribosomal RNA". It matches the Rfam family "Bacterial small subunit ribosomal RNA", at positions 89 to 334 of the family's 1533-position model. Lineage: Bacteria; Bacillati; Actinomycetota; Actinomycetes; Actinomycetales. The record is from RNAcentral.
GCUCGAGUGGCGAACGGGUGAGUAACACGUGAGUAACCUGCCCUUGACUUUGGGAUAACUUCAGGAAACUGGGGCUAAUACCGGAUAGGAGCUCCUGCUGCAUGGUGGGGGUUGGAAAGUUUCGGCGGUUGGGGAUGGACUCGCGGCUUAUCAGCUUGUUGGUGGGGUAGUGGCGUACCAAGGCUUUGACGGGUAGCCGGCCUGAGAGGGUGACCGGCCACAUUGGGACUGAGAUACGGCCCAG